GAAAAAAAAGAAGCAAAUGAUACCAAGACAAGCUACUAAGAGAGAUCUAAUCAGCAGAUGUGUACGGAUGAAAAUACAGUGAGAUGAGUCAGAAAACGGCCAAGGAGGGUCCCAGACUCUCCAAAAACCAGAGGUACUCCGAGCACUUCAGCAUCCACUGCUGCCCGCCGUUCACCUUCCUCAACUCCAAGAAGGAGAUAGUGGAUCGGAAAUACAGCAUCUGUAAGAGUGGCUGCUUCUACCAGAAGAAGGAGGAGGACUGGAUCUGCUGCGCCUGCCAGAAGACCAGAUUGAAAAGAAGGCUUAGGCCAACCCCAAAGAAGAAGUGACCAAGGAGGAGUUUAAAGUGAAUGGAUGGUCUCGGCUCCUGGACUCACUGCUUCACAACCCAUCUACCCUUGGACGAGUUAUCUGGCUUCAAAUAUUAUGCAAGGGCAAACACCUGCUGAUGCAGCAACUGCUGAUGCUCGUUGUCCCCAUGGCAUGAGGGCCUCAGGGCAGCCUGCCUGGAGCACUUGGAAGAUGCCAUCCCAUUGUCUUCUGACCUCUAUAAUUGCCACUGAGAGAUCUGCUGUCAGUCUGCUUAUCCUUCCAUGGCAACGUGGGAUCCUCAAUUUCCAGCUACAGUUUUGUGUAUUUUGA
This is a long non-coding RNA of Callithrix jacchus (white-tufted-ear marmoset), 642 nucleotides long. NCBI's taxonomy places the organism in Eukaryota, Metazoa, Chordata, Mammalia, Primates, Cebidae. The record is from Ensembl.